Non-coding RNA from Bacillus sp. X1(2014), 134 nucleotides. The record is from Rfam. Lineage: Bacteria; Bacillati; Bacillota; Bacilli; Caryophanales; Bacillaceae.
AUCUAUCUUCGGGGCAGGGUGAAAUUCCCGACCGGCGGUAUUAGAGCAAUGCUCUUAAGCCCGCGAGCCUUUUAUGGGCAGGAUUUGGUGAGAUUCCAAAGCCGACAGUAAAGUCUGGAUGGGAGAAGAUGGAG